Molecule: ribosomal RNA, 536 nt
Filed under: Arthrobacter citreus
Lineage: Bacteria; Bacillati; Actinomycetota; Actinomycetes; Micrococcales; Micrococcaceae
Description: bacterial SSU rRNA
Rfam family: Bacterial small subunit ribosomal RNA
Source: RNAcentral
UGACGCGAGAGCCUGAUGCAGCGACGCCGCGUGAGGGACGAAUGCCUUCGGGUUGUAAACCUCUUUCAGCAGGGAAGAAGCGAAAGUGACGGUACCUGCAGAAGAAGCGCCGGCUAACUACGUGCCAGCAGCCGCGGUAAUACGUAGGGCGCAAGCGUUAUCCGGAAUUAUUGGGCGUAAAGAGCUCGUAGGCGGUUUGUCGCGUCUGCUGUGAAAGCCCGGGGCUCAACCCCGGGUCUGCAGUGGGUACGGGCAGACUAGAGUGCAGUAGGGGAGACUGGAAUUCCUGGUGUAGCGGUGAAAUGCGCAAAUAUCAGGAGGAACACCGAUGGCGAAGGCAGGUCUCUGGGCUGUAACUGACGCUGAGGAGCGAAAGCAUGGGGAGCGAACAGGAUUAGAUACCCUGGUAGUCCAUGCCGUAAACGUUGGGCACUAGGUGUGGGGGACAUUCCACGUUUUCCGCGCCGUAGCUAACGCAUUAAGUGCCCCGCCUGGGGAGUACGGCCGCAAGGCUAAAACUCAAAUGAAAUUGACGG